This 828-nucleotide ribosomal RNA is filed under the name uncultured Bacillota bacterium. RNAcentral's name for it is "bacterial SSU rRNA". It matches the Rfam family "Bacterial small subunit ribosomal RNA", at positions 60 to 864 of the family's 1533-position model. The record is from RNAcentral. Lineage: Bacteria; Bacillati; Bacillota.
AGUCGAACGCGAAAGUCCCCUUCGGGGGACGAGUAGAGUGGCGUCCGGGUGAGUAACACGUAGGUAAUCUACCUUCGGGUGGGGAAUAACGCAGGGAAACUUGCGCUAAUACCGCAUAAUGCAGCGGCACCACAUGGUGACAGUUGUUAAAGCGGGGGAUUUUCGAACCUCGCGCCUGAAGAGGAGCCUGCGGCAGAUUAGCCAGUUGGUAGGGUAACGGCUUACCAAGGCGACGAUCUGUAGCCGGCCUGAGAGGGCGGUCGGCCACACUGACACUGACAUACGGGUCAGACUCCUACGGGAGGCAGCAGUCGGGAAUUUUGGGCAAUGGGCGAAAGCCUGACCCAGCAACGCCGCGUGAAGGAUGAAAUCCUUCGGGAUGUAAACUUCGCAAGAAUAGGAAGAAUGAGCGAGCGCUAACACCGUUCGUGAUGACGGUACUAUUUGUAAGCUCCGGCUAACUCCGUGCCAGCAGCCGCGGUAAUACGGGGGGAGCAAGCGUUGUUCGGAUUUACUGGGCGUAAAGGGCGCGUAGGCGGUCAGCACAAGUCAGUUGUGAAAUCUCCGGGCUUAACUCGGAAAGGUCAACUGAUACUGUGCGACUAGAGUGCAGAAGGGGCAACUGGAAUUCUCGGUGUAGCGGUGAAAUGCGUAGAUAUCGAGAGGAACACCUGCGGCGAAGGCGGGUUGCUGGGCUGACACUGACGCUGAUGCGCGAAAGCCAGGGGAGCGAACGGGAUUAGAUACCCCGGUAGUCCUGGCCUUAAACGAUGGAUGCUUGGUGUCUGGAGUUUUAUAGUCUCCGGGUGCCGUAGCUAACGCGUUAAG